UACGGGGGGGGCUAGCGUUAAUCGGAAUAACUGGGCGUAAAGGGCACGCAGGCGGCUUUUUAAGUGAGGGGUGAAAUCCCCGGGCUUAACCUCGGAAUUGCAUUUGAUACUGGGAGGCUUGAGUACUUUAGAGGGGAGUGGAAUUCCACGUGUAGCGGUGAAAUGCGUAGAUAUGUGGAGGAAUACCGAAGGCGAAGGCAGCCCCUUGGGAAUGUAUUGACGCUGAUGUGCGAAAGCGUGGGGAGCAAACAGG
RNAcentral lists this ribosomal RNA (253 nucleotides) under uncultured bacterium. Its description in RNAcentral is "partial 16S ribosomal RNA". It matches the Rfam family "Bacterial small subunit ribosomal RNA", at positions 524 to 776 of the family's 1533-position model. The record is from RNAcentral.